Molecule: small nucleolar RNA, 91 nt
Organism: Zingiber officinale
Lineage: Eukaryota; Viridiplantae; Streptophyta; Magnoliopsida; Zingiberales; Zingiberaceae
Product: small nucleolar RNA snoR27
Exons: 1
Source: RefSeq, a predicted model, not a curated record
CUUUGAGCCGUGAUGUGAAUAAUUUUUCUGCGUUAUCUUUCUGCAACUCUUUUGGAGUAGUGAAGAUGACUAUAAACCACUGAGUUCAUCU